This 606-nucleotide ribosomal RNA is filed under the name uncultured bacterium. Its description in RNAcentral is "bacterial SSU rRNA". It matches the Rfam family "Bacterial small subunit ribosomal RNA", at positions 59 to 655 of the family's 1533-position model. The record is from RNAcentral.
CAGUCGAGGGGCAGCAUCAUCAAAGCUUGCUUUGAUGGAUGGCGACCGGCGCACGGGUGAGUAACACGUAUCCAACCUGCCGACAACACUGGGAUAGCCUUUCGAAAGAAAGAUUAAUACCGGAUGGCAUAGUUUUCCCGCAUGGGAUAAUUAUUAAAGAAUUUCGGUUGUCGAUGGGGUUGCGUUCCAUUAGGCAGUUGGCGGGGUAACGGCCCACCAAACCUACGAUGGAUAGGGGUUCUGAGAGGAAGGUCCCCCACAUUGGAACUGAGACACGGUCCAAACUCCUACGGGAGGCAGCAGUGAGGAACAUUGGUCAAUGGACGAGAGUCUGAACCAGCCAAGUAGCGUGAAGGAUGACUGCCCUAUGGGUUGUAAACUUCUUUUAUACGGGAAUAAAGUGAGCCACGUGUGGCUUUUUGUAUGUACCGUAUGAAUAAGGAUCGGCUAACUCCGUGCCAGCAGCCGCGGUAAUACGGAGGAUUCGAGCGUUAUCCGGAUUUAUUGGGUUUAAAGGGAGCGUAGGCGGGUUGUUAAGUCAGUUGUGAAAGUUUGCGGCUCAACCGUAAAAUUGCAGUUGAUACUGGCGACCUUGAGUGCAACAGA